This 354-nucleotide unclassified non-coding RNA is filed under the name soil metagenome. RNAcentral describes it as "partial contains 5.8S ribosomal RNA, internal transcribed spacer 2, and large subunit ribosomal RNA". The stretch from base 1 to 120 matches the Rfam family "5.8S ribosomal RNA", at positions 35 to 154 of the family's 154-position model. The record is from RNAcentral.
GAUGAAGAACGUAGCGAAAUGCGAUAAGUAAUGUGAAUUGCAGAAUUCAGUGAAUCAUCGAAUCUUUGAACGCACAUUGCGCCCAUUAGUAUUCUAGUGGGCAUGCCUGUUCGAGCGUCAUUAAGUCCACUUAAGCCCUGCUUAGUGUUGGGAGACUGCUCCAGCGGUGCUACCCUGUAGCUACCCUGCAGCUCCUCAAAGACAGCGGCGGAGUUGUGGUAUCCUCUGAGCUUAGUAACUUGUUCUAGCUUUCGAGUACACCACUUCCCCUGCCGUAAAACCCUUAAUUUUUAAUGGUAGACCUCGGAUCAGGUAGGAAUACCCGCUGAACUUAAGCAUAUCAAUAAGCGGAGA